RNAcentral lists this long non-coding RNA (291 nucleotides) under Mytilus galloprovincialis (Mediterranean mussel). Lineage: Eukaryota; Metazoa; Mollusca; Bivalvia; Mytilida; Mytilidae. The record is from RNAcentral.
UGUCUUCUUAGAAGUUUCCCUAGCUACACACUAAAUAUUCUCAAUAAUUACCUUCAGUAAAUGUUACAUUUAAUGAUUUCCCCAAAAAAUCUGUUUAAGACAACUUACAACCCAACAUUGUCUUAAACAGAUUCAUUCAAACAAUCAAAGUAAAAGAUCAUUUGUUAACAGUAAAAAUGCACCUUUCUUUGAAAAUAUUGCACACAGAAAUAGUUCACAACUAUUAAGAGGAACACAGUUUUUAUAUUAAUGCUGUAAGUAUAUAAAUAUGACUAGGCAAUCAUCUGAACU